RNAcentral lists this small RNA (135 nucleotides) under Streptococcus salivarius. Its description in RNAcentral is "Streptococcus sRNA SpR19". It matches the Rfam family "Streptococcus sRNA SpR19". The record is from RNAcentral. Lineage: Bacteria; Bacillati; Bacillota; Bacilli; Lactobacillales; Streptococcaceae.
GCGUUUUUCUAGCGAGCUUGGGAGAGUGGAAGCCAAGUAGAGCAAAGUAGGCAAGUGGCGCUUUCUCUCAGCAAAUGGCUGAAGACAAACAGAUAAAAUGAAGUAAUAAAUUAGGGUGGAACCGCGUUUCUGACG